Molecule: ribosomal RNA, 1281 nt
Filed under: Escherichia coli
Lineage: Bacteria; Pseudomonadati; Pseudomonadota; Gammaproteobacteria; Enterobacterales; Enterobacteriaceae
Description: partial 23S ribosomal RNA
Rfam family: Bacterial large subunit ribosomal RNA
Source: RNAcentral
UACCAAGGCGCUUGAGAGAACUCGGGUGAAGGAACUAGGCAAAAUGGUGCCGUAACUUCGGGAGAAGGCACGCUGAUAUGUAGGUGAAGUCCCUCGCGGAUGGAGCUGAAAUCAGUCGAAGAUACCAGCUGGCUGCAACUGUUUAUUAAAAACACAGCACUGUGCAAACACGAAAGUGGACGUAUACGGUGUGACGCCUGCCCGGUGCCGGAAGGUUAAUUGAUGGGGUCAGCGCAAGCGAAGCUCUUGAUCGAAGCCCCGGUAAACGGCGGCCGUAACUAUAACGGUCCUAAGGUAGCGAAAUUCCUUGUCGGGUAAGUUCCGACCUGCACGAAUGGCGUAAUGAUGGCCAGGCUGUCUCCACCCGAGACUCAGUGAAAUUGAACUCGCUGUGAAGAUGCAGUGUACCCGCGGCAAGACGGAAAGACCCCGUGAACCUUUACUAUAGCUUGACACUGAACAUUGAGCCUUGAUGUGUAGGAUAGGUGGGAGGCUUUGAAGUGUGGACGCCAGUCUGCAUGGAGCCGACCUUGAAAUACCACCCUUUAAUGUUUGAUGUUCUAACGUUGACCCGUGAUCCGGGUUGCGGACAGUGUCUGGUGGGUAGUUUGACUGGGGCGGUCUCCUCCUAAAGAGUAACGGAGGAGCACGAAGGUUGGCUAAUCCUGGUCGGACAUCAGGAGGUUAGUGCAAUGGCAUAAGCCAGCUUGACUGCGAGCGUGACGGCGCGAGCAGGUGCGAAAGCAGGUCAUAGUGAUCCGGUGGUUCUGAAUGGAAGGGCCAUCGCUCAACGGAUAAAAGGUACUCCGGGGAUAACAGGCUGAUACCGCCCAAGAGUUCAUAUCGACGGCGGUGUUUGGCACCUCGAUGUCGGCUCAUCACAUCCUGGGGCUGAAGUAGGUCCCAAGGGUAUGGCUGUUCGCCAUUUAAAGUGGUACGCGAGCUGGGUUUAGAACGUCGUGAGACAGUUCGGUCCCUAUCUGCCGUGGGCGCUGGAGAAUUGAGGGGGGCUGCUCCUAGUACGAGAGGACCGGAGUGGACGCAUCACUGGUGUUCGGGUUGUCAUGCCAAUGGCACUGCCCGGUAGCUAAAUGCGGAAGAGAUAAGUGCUGAAAGCAUCUAAGCACGAAACUUGCCCCGAGAUGAGUUCUCCCUGACUCCUUGAGAGUCCUGAAGGAACGUUGAAGACGACGACGUUGAUAGGCCGGGUGUGUAAGCGCAGCGAUGCGUUGAGCUAACCGGUACUAAUGAACCGUGAGGCUUAACCUUACAACGCCGAAG